AGUAAGCUGCUCUUGGUCAACAUGCCUGCUUCACUGUUUUCAUCCUUUCAAGUGCAACUACCCGUGUUGUUGAUUCUGGUACUGCUCAAUACAGUGCUUCUCAUAUAGGAACCGCCAUAUCGUCUCUGUCUUCUUCUCAGUGAUUCCUCUGUGUUUGUCUGUGAUACUUUCAUCUGGAGGUCUCAUGGUCGACAUGGCUGUUUCAUCACAGGACAAUUUGGUCAUUCUUGUUUUCCUUUGGUUCAAACUGUGUUCUGGUUUCUGCUUACAGAUAAGGAGUCAUGUACAAUUUUCACAGUUUCCAUGGAUUUUACUCCCCUGUGCUUCGUCUCCUUGUCGCAAGCCAAUCUAUUAUCCUGAAGGCCAGCUAAUUUCAAAAGGUCUUCCUUCGGUUAUCAACGUUACGCUUAACCAUACAGAGAAGCUUUGGUCCU
Molecule: long non-coding RNA, 434 nt
Organism: Solanum stenotomum
Lineage: Eukaryota; Viridiplantae; Streptophyta; Magnoliopsida; Solanales; Solanaceae
Exons: 3
Source: RefSeq, a predicted model, not a curated record